UACCAGCUCUUCGAGUGGUGUGGAUGUUUAUUGGGCCUAAAGCAUCCGUAGCUGGCUGGGCAAGUCCCCUGUUAAAUCCACCGAUUUAAUCGUUGGAGUGCGGGGGAUACUGUUCGGCUAGGGGACGGGAGAGGCAGACGGUAUUUUCGGGGUAGGGGUGAAAUCCUAUAAUCCCGAGAAGACCACCAGUGGCGAAGGCUGUCUGCUAGAACGCGCCCGACGGUGAGGGAUGAAAGCUGGGGGAGCGAACCGGAUUAGAUACCCGGGUAGUCCCAGCUGUAAACGAUGCAGGCUAGGUGUUUGGACGGCCACGUGCCGUUCUAGUGCCGCAGGGAAGCCGUUAAGCCUGCCGCCUGGGGAGUACGGCCGCAAGGCUGAAACUUAAGGAAUUGGCGGGGGAGCACCACAAGGGGUGAAGCUUGCGGUUU
This 428-nucleotide ribosomal RNA is filed under the name uncultured archaeon. RNAcentral describes it as "bacterial SSU rRNA". It matches the Rfam family "Archaeal small subunit ribosomal RNA", at positions 474 to 903 of the family's 1478-position model. The record is from RNAcentral.